RNAcentral lists this ribosomal RNA (253 nucleotides) under uncultured bacterium. RNAcentral's name for it is "partial 16S ribosomal RNA". It matches the Rfam family "Bacterial small subunit ribosomal RNA", at positions 524 to 776 of the family's 1533-position model. The record is from RNAcentral.
UACGGAGGGUGCAAGCGUUAUCCGGAUUCACUGGGUUUAAAGGGUGCGUAGGUGGCUUUGUAAGUCAGUGGUGAAAUACCGCAGCUCAACUGCGGAACUGCCAUUGAUACUGCUUAGCUUGAAUCAGGUCGAGGUGGAUGGAAUAUUACAUGUAGCGGUGAAAUGCUUAGAUAUGUAAUAGAACACCGAUUGCGAAGGCAGUUCACUAGGCCUGAAUUGACACUGAGGCACGAAAGCGUGGGGAGCAAACAGG